GAUGAACGCUGGCGGCGUGCCUAAUACAUGCAAGUCGAGCGAACAGACGAGGCGCUUGCUCCUCUGACGUUAGCGGCGGACGGGUGAGUAACACGUGGAUAACCUACCUAUCAGACUGGGAUAACUUCGGGAAACCGGAGCUAAUACCGGAUAAUAUAUUGAACCGCAUGGUUCAAUAGUGAAAGACGGUUUUGCUGUCACUUAUAGAUGGAUCCGCGCCGCAUUAGCUAGUUGGUAAGGUAACGGCUUACCAAGGCAACGAUGCGUAGCCGACCUGAGAGGGUGAUCGGCCACACUGGAACGGAGACACGGUCCAGACGCCUACGGGAGGCAGCAGUAGGGAAUCUUCCGCAAUGGGCGAAAGCCUGACGGAGCAACGCCGCGUGAGUGAUGAAGGUCUUCGGAGCGUAAAACUCUGUUAUUAGGGAAGAACAAAUGUGUAAGUAACUAUGCACGUCUUGACGGUACCUAAUCAGAAAGCCACGGCUAACUACGUG
Molecule: ribosomal RNA, 497 nt
Filed under: uncultured bacterium
Lineage: Bacteria
Description: partial 16S ribosomal RNA
Rfam family: Bacterial small subunit ribosomal RNA
Source: RNAcentral